Molecule: non-coding RNA, 946 nt
Organism: Morone saxatilis (striped sea-bass)
Lineage: Eukaryota; Metazoa; Chordata; Actinopteri; Moronidae
Source: the annotation of a RefSeq genome assembly
ACGUGGUUUAUCAGUUGCCAACUGUUAAAGUGUUCGCCUCCUCUGAUGAGGAAGACGAGCCUUCCUUCUCCUGCUUUGCCACCGAUUUUUCACCAAAAAGUUAUAAGAUCAAGUGGCUGAAAAAUGGUCAGGACUUCAACAACCAAACAGACAAGAUCGAAACAACUUCCGAGGGGAGAAAGGACAAGAAUGGUACUAAAAUGUACAGUGCAGCAAGUUUUCUCAAAGUGAAGUCCAGUGAUUGGUCUCUUUACCCCCGUACUGAGUUUACAUGCCUGUUUGAGGGGAAAGGUAAAAAUGACAUUCCAGCCUACAAGAAUUCAUCUGUAGUCUACAAAGACUGUGGUACCCCAUGUCGUGAAAACGUGCAAAUAAAGAUCGAUGGCCCCUUAACGGCGGAGUUGUUUUUAAACAACAAAGCAUCUUUAGUAUGUACAGUCCAGAUAGAUGAGGCAACUCCUCCCAAGAUGUGGUGGGAAGAUGGUGACAGAAAAGAGCUGGUUGGUACCACAACAGAAGCUGUAAAAGUAAAGAAGAACCAAUUCAGCCUUACUCUUGACAUCUCGUAUGAAGAAUGGAGCCGUGGGAUAAAGCGCUACUGCGUUGUUGAACAUUCAACAUUGCUUGAACCAAUGAAAAAACUCUAUGAAAGGAAUAUUGAGUUCCUGAACGAAACUAACAUCCAAUGGAACUGUAUCACAGAGGAAGAUAACAUGGCGGUGGCAGCCGUCACCUUCAUCCUUCUCUUCUUCAUCACUCUGCUGUUCACCAUUGUAACCACUUUUUUCAAGAUUAAAUGAAAUGAGGCAAACUUUCUGUAAAAAAACUUUCACUUUUUCACACAUUUUGCUUAGAAACUCAUAGUAUCAUGUAAGUAAUUAUCAUUGUGCUUUUUUCAUCAUAAUUACAAGCUUUGUGUCUUUUUGAAAAUAAAUGUUUAAAUGAA